UACAGAGGGUGCGAACGUUGUUCGGAUUUACUGGGCGUAAAGCGCGUGUAGGCGGUCUCGCAAGUCGGAUGUGAAAUCCCCGGGCUCAACCUGGGAACUGCAUUUGUGACUGCAUAGCUAGAGUACGGUAGAGGGGGAUGGAAUUCCGCGUGUAGCAGUGAAAUGCGUAGAUAUGCGGAGGAACACCGAUGGCGAAGGCAAUCCCCUGGACCUGUACUGACGCUCAUGCACGAAAAGCGUGGGGGAGCAAACAGG
RNAcentral lists this ribosomal RNA (255 nucleotides) under uncultured bacterium. RNAcentral's name for it is "partial 16S ribosomal RNA". It matches the Rfam family "Bacterial small subunit ribosomal RNA", at positions 524 to 776 of the family's 1533-position model. The record is from RNAcentral.